RNAcentral lists this ribosomal RNA (253 nucleotides) under uncultured bacterium. Its description in RNAcentral is "partial 16S ribosomal RNA". It matches the Rfam family "Bacterial small subunit ribosomal RNA", at positions 524 to 776 of the family's 1533-position model. The record is from RNAcentral.
UACAGAGGGGGCAAGCGUUGUUCGGAAUUACUGGGCGUAAAGGGCGCGUAGGUGGCCUUCUAAGUUGAACGUGAAAUCCCUGGGCUCAACCCAGGAACUGCGUCCAAGACUGGGAGGCUUGAAUCCGGGAGAGGGAUGCGGAAUUCCAGGUGUAGCGGUGAAAUGCGUAGAUAUCUGGAGGAACACCGGUGGCGAAGGCGGCAUCCUGGACCGGUAUUGACACUGAGGCGCGAAAGCUAGGGGAGCAAACGGG